RNAcentral lists this non-coding RNA (21 nucleotides) under Rattus norvegicus (Norway rat). The record is from RNAcentral. Lineage: Eukaryota; Metazoa; Chordata; Mammalia; Rodentia; Muridae.
UGUGCUUUCAUGUGCAUUGAC